AUUUUGGACAAUGGGGGCAACCCUGAUCCAGCCAUCCCGCGUGUGCGAUGAAGGCCUUCGGGUUGUAAAGCACUUUUGGCAGGGAAGAAACGGCGCUGGUUAAUACCUGGCGCAACUGACGGUACCUGCAGAAUAAGCACCGGCUAACUACGUGCCAGCAGCCGCGGUAAUACGUAGGGUGCAAGCGUUAAUCGGAAUUACUGGGCGUAAAGGGUGCGUAGGCGGUUGGGCAAGAAAGGUGUGAAAUCCCAGGGCUUAACCUUGGAAUGGCACUUUUAACUGCCCGGCUAGAGUAUGUCAGAGGGGGGUAGAAUUCCACGUGUAGCAGUGAAAUGCGUAGAGAUGUGGAGGAAUACCGAUGGCGAAGGCAGCCCCCUGGGAUAAUACUGACGCUCAUGCACGAAAGCGUGGGGAGCAAACAGG
Molecule: ribosomal RNA, 423 nt
Filed under: uncultured bacterium
Lineage: Bacteria
Description: bacterial SSU rRNA
Rfam family: Bacterial small subunit ribosomal RNA
Source: RNAcentral